AGCGAACGCUGGCGGCAGGCCUAACACAUGCAAGUCGAACGAACCUUUCGGGGUUAGUGGCGGACGGGUGAGUAACACGUGGGAACGUGCCUUUAGGUUCGGAAUAACUCAGGGAAACUUGUGCUAAUACCGAAUGUGCCCUUCGGGGGAAAGAUUAAUCGCCUUUAGAGCGGCCCGCGUCUGAUUAGCUAGUUGGUUGAGGUAAUGGUUCACCAAGGCGACGAUCAGUAGCUGGUCUGAGAGGAUGAUCAGCCACAUUGUGACUUAGACACGGCCCAAACUCCUACGGGAGGCAGCAGUGGGGAAUCUUGCGCAAUGGGCGAAAGCCUGACGCAGCCAUGCCGCGUGAAUGAUGAAGGUCUUAGGAUUGUAAAAUUCUUUCACCGGGGACGAUAAUGACGGUACCCGGAGAAGAAGCCCCGGCUAACUUCGU
RNAcentral lists this ribosomal RNA (433 nucleotides) under uncultured bacterium. RNAcentral's name for it is "partial 16S ribosomal RNA". It matches the Rfam family "Bacterial small subunit ribosomal RNA", at positions 29 to 506 of the family's 1533-position model. The record is from RNAcentral.